GUGGAAACACAAAAGUGGCCUUUCGGGGAACCAGGAGACAGGUGCUGCGUGGCUGUCGUCAGCUCGUGUCGUGAGAUGUUGGGUUAAGUCCCGCAACGAGCGCAACCCUUAUCUUUAAUUGCCAGCAUUCAGUUGGGCACUUUAAAGAGACUGCCGGUGUUAAACCGGAGGAAGGUGGGGAUGACGUCAAGUCCUCAUGGCCUUUAUGCUUAGGGCUACACACGUGCUACAAAUGGGUGGUACAAAGAGAAGCCAACUCGCGAGAGCGCGCCAAUCUCAAAAAGCCAUCCUCAGUUCGGAUUGGAGUCUGCAACUCGACUCCAUGAAGUUGGAAUCGCUAGUAAUCGCGGAUCAGCAUGCCGCGGUGAAUACGUUCCCGGGCCUU
This 385-nucleotide ribosomal RNA is filed under the name uncultured Smithella sp. RNAcentral describes it as "bacterial SSU rRNA". It matches the Rfam family "Bacterial small subunit ribosomal RNA", at positions 1000 to 1382 of the family's 1533-position model. The record is from RNAcentral. Lineage: Bacteria; Pseudomonadati; Thermodesulfobacteriota; Syntrophia; Syntrophales; Smithellaceae.